RNAcentral lists this ribosomal RNA (253 nucleotides) under uncultured bacterium. Its description in RNAcentral is "partial 16S ribosomal RNA". It matches the Rfam family "Bacterial small subunit ribosomal RNA", at positions 524 to 776 of the family's 1533-position model. The record is from RNAcentral.
UACAGAGGGUGCAAGCGUUAAUCGGAAUUACUGGGCGUAAAGGGUGCGUAGGUGGUUGUAUAAGUUGGGUGUGAAAGUCCUGGGCUUAACCUAGGGAUUGCGCUCAAUACUGUAUAGCUAGAGUACUGUAGAGGAAGGUGGAAUUUCCAGUGUAGCGGUGAAAUGCGUAGAUAUUGGAAGGAACAUCAGUGGCGAAGGCGACUUUCUGGACAGUUACUGACACUGAGGUACGAAAGCGUGGGGAGCAAACAGG